GUCCAAAACCAGCCCACCCCUUUUUUUGUUUUUUCCUCUCUUUUCUCUCAUCUCCAUCAACCCCAUCGGUCCUGAAACCUUGCACAAAAUCGUACAAGGUCACUCAAAUCAACAAAAAAACAUUGAUCAUGUCUCUUUCAACUGAGAAUCCCGCCGGGUUUUCCCUUUUCCUCACCACAAUUUGAAUCCCGACCCACGAAACCCUAGACCAAAGGAUGCAAACGAGAAUAUAAUCAUUUUUCUCUCAUGGUCGUUCAAAUCAACACAUGCAAGCUUUGAAUCUUGACCGUAUCAUCACGAUUCUUGGUCCAAAGGUCAAACGCAGUGACCUUUGGACAUGGGCUUUGACUGAUGGUCUUGUGGUCUCCAACGGUCGAUUCUCUUCACCAUUUUCGUGCCAAGGUAAAAGCUCCACUCUGUUUUACCUCUGUUUUUACCCUUUUUGUCUCAUCAGCAACUCAAUCGUCACACCCCACUAUCUAUGUGAAUCCAAACGGAGCCUUAAGGAUUCAAUGUUACUAUAAAUAGAGCCUUUAAUGCUCUCACCACACACAAAGAGAAGAACUACUCUAAAAUCUGAGCAAAUACCACUGAUUUCAGUAUUCUAUAAUUCUUCUCUAACUUCUUUUCUUUCAUUUCUGCUCGAGUUCGACUACUGCGAACUGACUGUGAGAUUGGGUUCAUAAACGGCUAUUAACUAUCUCUAAUUGGUUUGUUGCUCCGAAGAAGGUUCAGGAAACGGAGCCGCUUCUUGGUCAUCUGCUGAAAUUGUUAAAAUGGCAUGGCGUAGCCAUUUUUACGGUUGACUAUCGAAAAAUAGCCACCAUCGCAGUGUACGGAUUUCGCUUUCGUGAGAGCACUUUUCUUCGAAUCUUGUCUAGGUUAGGUCCAAUUUUCUUCAAAAUUAUCUGGAAAUGGAAUCUUCAAGUAGGUUAUUGAAGAGGGUAUCUGCCAAAGUUGAAGACAUUAUACGUGCAGACAUUAAAGUUGAAGUUUUUAAACUGGAUGUGUAUAAUAAAGUAUAUUUUGCUGGAUUUGAAGCUAUUUAUAUUGAUAUGUUACGUUUAAUAUAAUCCAACAUAUUAGUUGAAUUUAUUUUGAUUGCUCCCUAUAAAUUAUGCUGGAAAUGUUACUUGUGAAGUGUUAUAAGCCAGUAUAUUAUAAUGGAGAGAAGUGUAAAAUAGGUAUCUAGAACAAUUUACUGGAGUUAAAUAAUUUAAAAUUUUGUUUCCUGUA
Long non-coding RNA from Nicotiana attenuata, 1236 nucleotides. RefSeq lists it as uncharacterized. NCBI's taxonomy places the organism in Eukaryota, Viridiplantae, Streptophyta, Magnoliopsida, Solanales, Solanaceae. The transcript has 5 exons. The record is from RefSeq and is a predicted model, not a curated record.